This 785-nucleotide long non-coding RNA is filed under the name Lupinus mutabilis. RNAcentral describes it as "partial ncRNA". The record is from RNAcentral. Lineage: Eukaryota; Viridiplantae; Streptophyta; Magnoliopsida; Fabales; Fabaceae.
GCGGUUGGAAGAUAAUAACGGAGGAGCUGCUGCUGCUGCCACCGCCGAAGACGCAGAACGGCUCUUCCCUAAAUGCUUGCACACAACUCUGAGUCCUGCUGUCACUUUUUGACUCUUGUUGUUUGUAAUAUUACUACUACUACUAUUAUCUACUUUCACUGAUGGAUCAUGUUUCUUCUGUGUUUUCUCCGCUAAUGGAGUACCUUUGUCGUUAAACUUGUCCCCGUACCUACGAGAAACUUUAACAUACAAAGGCUUCACCAGUUUCAAGUACUUUUGCAUUGCCUCCUUUGAGAAACGUUGUUUCUCUUCCUGUGACGAGUCCUUCUUCUUGUUUUUAUGAGACGAUUCUGGAGGAAGAGAAUCAGAGGAUGUUGACUUGGAUUUCUUGAGAGCAGACAUGAAGACACGAAACUUGGAAGAGGAAUUAAAGUGAUGAGGUUUGGGGUUGGGUUCAUUAUCAUCGUCCACAACAUGCAAUAGCUUUCCAUUGAAGAACAAGUCUUCAGAAGGAGACAGAGAUAUGUUAGGGUCCUCUAUCUGCAUUAACUUAAAGUCUCUCUCAGCCUCACACUCUUCGUCUUCUUCGUUGUGGUGAUUGUGGUUACCAUCUUCUGCGUCGUCGGGUAAAGUGAACUCUAUGUCAAAGAAAGGACCGUCGUCGCCGGAGUCGGUGAGGAUGGUGGUGGUUGAAGAAGAAAGGAGACGGAGUCCAGGAGCAGCACGCCAGUACUUGAGUAAGGUAAAAGCUUCCAUGGUUGGGAGAGCCAGUAUACACAACUCGC